GACGAACGCUGGCGGCGUGCUUAACACAUGCAAGUCGAACGGACAGGCCCUGCUUUUGUUGGUUGCUCGAGUGGCGAGCGGGUGAGUAACACGUGAGUAACCUGCCCUUGACUUUGUGAUAACUUCAGGAAACUGGGGCUCAUACCGGGUAGAAGCUCCUGCUGCAUGUUGGGGGUUGGAAAGUUUCGGCGGUUGGGGAUGGACUCGCGGGUUAUCAGCUUGUUGGUGGGGUAGUGGCUUACCAAGGCUUUGACGGGUAGCCGGCCUGAGAGGGUGACCGGCCACAUUGGGACUGAGAUACGGCCCAGACUCCUACGGGAGGCAGCAGUGGGGAAUAUGGCACAAUGGGCGGAAGCCUGAUGCAGCAACGCCGCGUGCGGGAUGACGGCCUUCGGGGUGUAAACCGCUUUCGACUGUGACGAAGCGUGAGUGACGGUAAUGGGUAAAGAAGCACCGGCUAACUACGUG
This 468-nucleotide ribosomal RNA is filed under the name uncultured bacterium. RNAcentral's name for it is "partial 16S ribosomal RNA". It matches the Rfam family "Bacterial small subunit ribosomal RNA", at positions 28 to 507 of the family's 1533-position model. The record is from RNAcentral.